This is a transfer RNA of Grosmannia clavigera kw1407, 107 nucleotides long. It matches the Rfam family "tRNA". From Rfam's summary of the family: Transfer RNA (tRNA) molecules are approximately 80 nucleotides in length. Their secondary structure includes four short double-helical elements and three loops (D, anti-codon, and T loops). Further hydrogen bonds mediate the characteristic L-shaped molecular structure. tRNAs have two regions of fundamental functional importance: the anti-codon, which is responsible for specific mRNA codon recognition, and the 3' end, to which the tRNAs corresponding amino acid is attached (by aminoacyl-tRNA synthetases). tRNAs cope with the degeneracy of the genetic code in two manners: having more than one tRNA (with a specific anti-codon) for a particular amino acid; and 'wobble' base-pairing, i.e. permitting non-standard base-pairing at the 3rd anti-codon position. NCBI's taxonomy places the organism in Eukaryota, Fungi, Ascomycota, Sordariomycetes, Ophiostomatales, Ophiostomataceae. The record is from Rfam.
GGCAAGAUGGCCGAAUGGUUAAGGCGUGUGACUCAAGCUAAGCUUUCACCUCCAAGGUGGUGCAUUCACAUCCGUAAGGGUUCUGGGUUCGAGUCCCAGUCUUGUCA